Molecule: long non-coding RNA, 617 nt
Organism: Gossypium arboreum
Lineage: Eukaryota; Viridiplantae; Streptophyta; Magnoliopsida; Malvales; Malvaceae
Exons: 2
Source: RefSeq, a predicted model, not a curated record
UUUUGGGUAAUUGACAAAUCAAUUAUCUUAGUUUUAUUUCAGUCACUCAGCUUUAUAAAAAUAACAAAACAACCAUUUUAAUCGUUUUUCAUUACAAAUGUAACAGUAAAGUGAAGAAGAAGAAGAAGAAGAAGAAGAAGAAGAAGAAGAAGAAGAAGAAGAAGAAGAAGAAGAAGAAGAAGAAGAAAAAUGGAGAUGCCUCCACUUUUCAAAUCAAUCCCAUACUGCAUCUCUACAAAUGAGUCCUCUAAACUCUGAAUGUUAAGGUUAAGCCAACCACUGUUCCUCUUGGAGAAAAGGUUGUAGAUUCCUCGUUGUCAAGUAGCUUAUCUGCUGUUGAAAAGGUUAGGUCCUUCAAACCUUCAAUUCUAGCUAGCAAGAUUAGCUUAUCUCAGGCUCAAAAGGACUUGGAUGCUUGUCAGGGGAGCACUGUACAACAACCAGAACUUGGAACUGAAUCUUUAACAUCUAAGUUGUUAUUAGCUACAGCUAAACAUUCCGGGGUGGUUCCAACAACUAACUUGGAUGAAAGCCUGCCAUUUAACUCUGUAUCUUCUGCCCUAGCUGCCACAUAUGAGGAAUCUACGCUAGUCAUUGCCAGUAAUUAAGGUAGGAAG